GAUUUUGUCCCAUUCUUCUACACAAACAGUCUUCAAAUCUUGAAGGUUCUCUGGAUCUCUUCUAUGAACUCUGGUCUUUAGUUCUUUUCAUAGAUUUUAUAUUGGAUUCAAGUCA
This is a long non-coding RNA of Thalassophryne amazonica, 115 nucleotides long. RefSeq lists it as uncharacterized. The record is from RefSeq and is a predicted model, not a curated record. The transcript is spliced from 3 exons. NCBI's taxonomy places the organism in Eukaryota, Metazoa, Chordata, Actinopteri, Batrachoidiformes, Batrachoididae.